AGUUGGAGGACCGGAAGGACCCUGGUCCUCCAGUCAGUCAGAGCGCAGGCUUGGUGUAAAUAAAGAUUGAGCUUCACACAGACUAAAACCUCCUCCUGUGUCCAACAUCUGACAGCCUGUGGGAAACUGAUCCUGGGAGUCUCCAGAGAGAUUUUGAGGGAUUCGAAUGGGACUGCAAGGCAGUGAGUCGGCCAGCAGAGAGAUGUUGUUGUGACUGAACAAGACAAGUUGAUAUUAGAAGAGCAGGAUUUCCAGACAGAAAUCUCAAACCAAACGUCAAGGUCUAACAGUCACUCAAUUCAUCGGGAGCUGAAUAUCAUCAGCCUUUGAAUCUAGAAGAAGAAAUGUUUGUCUGUUCUGUCUGCUUCAAAAGAUUUUAAACAUCAGUGUGAGUGGAAAAGCACCGAGACACAGACACCCGAGUGAGAGUGUUCCAUAGCACUGACUGUGGAAAGAACUUUAACCAGUUACACAGCCUGAAAAAACAUCACACCAUUCACAGUGGAGAGAGACAUUAUACAUGUCCUGUGUGAGGAUGAGGCUUCAACUGACCAUCAGAUCUGGAGAGACACAAGAACAUCCGCACCAUGGAAAAACCGUGGACAUGUGGGGACUGUGGGAAAGGAUUCAGAUCCCCAUCUGAGCUGGAAGCUCACCGACACAGUCAUACUGGAGAGAGGCCAUUCGUCUGCUCUGUAUGUGGGAAGGGAUUCACUCAUUCAUUCAACCUGCUCAGACACCAGUGACUUCACACUGGGGAGAGGCCAUUUGCCUGCUCUGUUUGUGGGAAGGGAUUUAUUCAUUCAUCCAACCUGCAUAAACACCAGCGAGUUCACACUGGGGAGAGGCCGUUCAGCUGCUCUCAAUGUGAGAAGGGAUUCAGUAAUUCAUCUGACCUGUGGAAACACCAGCGAGUUCACAGAGGGGAAAGGCCAUUCACCUGCUCUGAAUGUGGGAAGGGAUUCAAUCAGUCAUCCCACCUGUUGAGACACCAGCGAGUCCACAAGUGAUUCCAGGCGUUGGAUUCUGCUGUUAUUGCUGCUGUUAAUCACAUCCAGGAAUGAACUACAUUCAUUCUGACAGUUUGUGAAGUGGGAGGGUCAGAGGGUUUCUUUCUGUUUGACUGGCUGGUCUCGUGACUUUGCUUCCAGUGGGCUGAUGCUCUUUGAAAUUGAAUUCUCCACUGAAACGAUCCACAAAAGCUAAUGAAGGACAUUUAUUUUAUCCUCGACAGUAAACAGUGUUUUUCCUACCACUACAGGUAAAUCUAAAAUAAAUACAGGAAGUUUAGGAAAACUCAGCAAGUCUGGCAGCAUCUUUGGAGAGAGAAACAGAGUUAUAUGUUUCAAGUCCAGUCUGACUCUUCUCCAGAAUUUUAGAGAUGGAGAAAUGUGAUGGGUUUGAUGCUGUUGAGGAAGGGGGGAGGGUCCGGAAGAACAAAAAGGAAAGUCAUGGGUUGGUUAGAGGGCAGGCGAGAUUAAAUAACAAACAUGGAACAAAAGUCAAAGGGAUAGAUAAUGGUUGUAGUAAAGAAACAAAGCAUUGGUCCAGAGUAAGUGUUUAUGGCAGAAUAAAGGACAGCUCUGUCUGAAAGCAAAAACAUGAAAACAAGAUGCAGACUGGCACUUGGCAAAAAAAGAUCAAAACAGAGGAUUGGGUUGACAGUCUGAAGUUGUGGAACUCAAUGCUGAGUCCAGAAGGCUGUAAAGUGCUUCAUUGGAGGAUGAGUUGCUGUUUGUCCAGCUUGUGUUGGGCUUCUCAGGAACAUUGCAGCAGGCCAAGGACAGAAAUGUGAGCAUGAGAGCAAGGUGGUGAAUUAUAAUGGCAGCAACUAGAAGGUCAGGAUCAUGCUUAUGGACUGAGUGGAGGUGUUCCACAAAGAGGACAGCGAACAGGGGACAGAUGAAUUAAAGAGAAAGCAUUUGGGUCCAGAACAUUGUGCACAUCCUUUUACUCUGGUUGUCUUUGAUCCUCAAGUAAUUUUCUAUUUCUUUUUAACCAUGUUCUGUUUCAUUAAGAAACUUUUAUCAGUAAAAAUAUUUGAUUUUUCUGGACUUUCCAUGAAUAGAUUUAUUCAAUUUAGGGAAAGUGGGUGAGAGGGGUUGGCAGGCUCUUCAACAGAAAGUGAGUCAAUAGUAUCUUUGAAAAGAGUAGAUACUUGAAGGGGAAAAAAUUGCAGUGCUGUGGGGAAAGAGCAGAGCAAUUGGGUGAAUCAGAGAGUCCUUUCAAAGAGAUGACAGGGGCAUGAUGGGCUGAAUGUACACCUUCUGCAGCCUGUGAAUCUGAGCCUCCUGCUUUUGUGCAGGUUAAAAGGGACAGAUUUCAUUUCAGCCUCUUCCUUGUAUCUGUAUUUAAAGAGACGGGUUUCUGUUCAGCUGUGUGUGACCGACAUAACAAUGUCUCCACUCCUUUGUAUAUUUAAACAUGGAACAAAGCCUUGCAUGGCUGAUUAUAAUCAACAGCCUUCCUGUAGAUCUCUCUGGAUGCAGCAAUGGUUU
Long non-coding RNA from Carcharodon carcharias (great white shark), 2498 nucleotides. RefSeq lists it as uncharacterized. The transcript is spliced from 3 exons. NCBI's taxonomy places the organism in Eukaryota, Metazoa, Chordata, Chondrichthyes, Lamniformes, Lamnidae. The record is from RefSeq and is a predicted model, not a curated record.